This 401-nucleotide unclassified non-coding RNA is filed under the name soil metagenome. RNAcentral's name for it is "partial contains 5.8S ribosomal RNA, internal transcribed spacer 2, and large subunit ribosomal RNA". The stretch from base 1 to 121 matches the Rfam family "5.8S ribosomal RNA", at positions 35 to 154 of the family's 154-position model. The record is from RNAcentral.
GAUGAAGAACGUAGCGAAAUGCGAUAAGUAAUGUGAAUUGCAGAAUUCAGUGAAUCAUCGAAUCUUUGAACGCACCUUGCGCCCUUUGGCCAUUCCGAAGGGCAUGCCUGUUUGAGUAUCAUGAACACCUCAACUCUCAUGGCUCGCCAUGAUGAGCUUGGAUUUGGGGGUCUUGCUGGCCUGUUGUUGGCUCCUCUCAAAUGGAUCAGCUUGCCAGUGUUUGGUGGCAUCACAGGUGUGAUAACUAUCUGCGCUUGUGGUUUUCCAUCAGAUAACCUUCAGUGAUGGAGGUUCGCUGGAGCUCAUAAACGUCUCCCCUAAGCGGGGACAGCCCUUUGAAUGUUUGAUCUCAAAUCAGGUAGGACUACCCGCUGAACUUAAGCAUAUCAAUAAGCGGAGGA